This 1448-nucleotide ribosomal RNA is filed under the name uncultured organism. Its description in RNAcentral is "SSU rRNA". It matches the Rfam family "Bacterial small subunit ribosomal RNA". The record is from RNAcentral.
GCUACAGGCUUAACACAUGCAAGUCGAGGGGCAGCAUUUUAGUUUGCUUGCAAACUAAAGAUGGCGACCGGCGCACGGGUGAGUAACACGUAUCCAACCUGCCGAUAACUCGGGGAUAGCCUUUCGAAAGAAAGAUUAAUAUCCGAUAGUAUAUUAAAACCGCAUGGUUUUACUAUUAAAGAAUUUCGGUUAUCGAUGGGGAUGCGUUCCAUUAGUUUGUUGGCGGGGUAACGGCCCACCAAGACUACGAUGGAUAGGGGUUCUGAGAGGAAGGUCCCCCACAUUGGAACUGAGACACGGUCCAAACUCCUACGGGAGGCAGCAGUGAGGAAUAUUGGUCAAUGGACGAGAGUCUGAACCAGCCAAGUAGCGUGAAGGAUGACUGCCCUAUGGGUUGUAAACUUCUUUUAUAUGGGAAUAAAGUAUUCCACGUGUGGGAUUUUGUAUGUACCAUAUGAAUAAGGAUCGGCUAACUCCGUGCCAGCAGCCGCGGUAAUACGGAGGAUCCGAGCGUUAUCCGGAUUUAUUGGGUUUAAAGGGAGCGUAGGUGGAUUGUUAAGUCAGUUGUGAAAGUUUGCGGCUCAACCGUAAAAUUGCAGUUGAAACUGGCAGUCUUGAGUACAGUAGAGGUGGGCGGAAUUCGUGGUGUAGCGGUGAAAUGCUUAGAUAUCACGAAGAACUCCGAUUGCGAAGGCAGCUCACUAGACUGCAACUGACACUGAUGCUCGAAAGUGUGGGUAUCAAACAGGAUUAGAUACCCUGGUAGUCCACACAGUAAACGAUGAAUACUCGCUGUUUGCGAUAUACAGUAAGCGGCCAAGCGAAAGCAUUAAGUAUUCCACCUGGGGAGUACGCCGGCAACGGUGAAACUCAAAGGAAUUGACGGGGGCCCGCACAAGCGGAGGAACAUGUGGUUUAAUUCGAUGAUACGCGAGGAACCUUACCCGGGCUUAAAUUGCAUUUGAAUAAUCUGGAAACAGGUUAGCCGCAAGGCAAAUGUGAAGGUGCUGCAUGGUUGUCGUCAGCUCGUGCCGUGAGGUGUCGGCUUAAGUGCCAUAACGAGCGCAACCCUUAUCUUUAGUUACUAACAGGUCAUGCUGAGGACUCUAGAGAGACUGCCGUCGUAAGAUGUGAGGAAGGUGGGGAUGACGUCAAAUCAGCACGGCCCUUACGUCCGGGGCUACACACGUGUUACAAUGGGGGGUACAGAAGGCAGCUACCUGGCGACAGGAUGCUAAUCCCAAAAACCUCUCUCAGUUCGGAUCGAAGUCUGCAACCCGACUUCGUGAAGCUGGAUUCGCUAGUAAUCGCGCAUCAGCCAUGGCGCGGUGAAUACGUUCCCGGGCCUUGUACACACCGCCCGUCAAGCCAUGAAAGCCGGGGGUACCUGAAGUACGUAACCGCAAGGAGCGUCCUAGGGUAAAACUGGUAAUUGGGGCUAAGUCGUA